RNAcentral lists this unclassified non-coding RNA (276 nucleotides) under fungal sp. RNAcentral describes it as "partial internal transcribed spacer region". The stretch from base 1 to 45 matches the Rfam family "Eukaryotic small subunit ribosomal RNA", at positions 1787 to 1831 of the family's 1831-position model. The record is from RNAcentral. Lineage: Eukaryota; Fungi.
AGUCGUAACAAGGUUUCCGUAGGUGAACCUGCGGAAGGAUCAUUAGCAAAUCGAAAUCAUGUGCGCCGCCGCAGGCGGUGCACAUCUGUCCCGGGGAGAAGGUCUGUAUGGCUUUCUCUCUGUGAUUCCGGGGAGAAGGUCUGUUCGACUCUCUCUCUGUGAUUCCGGGGAGAAGGUCUGACUUUCUCCCUGUGUCAAGUGCUCCACGGAAAUGUAAAUCACCAACACCAAAAUCAAACUAAAAAACAACUUUUAACAAUGGAUCUCUGGGCUCCU